UGGGGAAUAUUGGACAAUGGGCGAAAGCCUGAUCCAGCCAUGCCGCGUGUGUGAAGAAGGUCUUCGGAUUGUAAAGCACUUUAAGUUGGGAGGAAGGGCAUUAACCUAAUACGUUAGUGUUUUGACGUUACCGACAGAAUAAGCACCGGCUAACUCUGUCCCAGCAGCCGCGGUAAUACAGAGGGUGCAAGCGUUAAUCGGAAUUACUGGGCGUAAAGCGCGCGUAGGUGGUUUGUUAAGUUGGAUGUGAAAUCCCCGGGCUCAACCUGGGAACUGCAUUCAAAACUGACUGACUAGAGUAUGGUAGAGGGUGGUGGAAUUUCCUGUGUAGCGGUGAAAUGCGUAGAUAUAGGAAGGAACACCAGUGGCGAAGGCGACCACCUGGACUAAUACUGACACUGAGGUGCGAAAGCGUGGGGAGCAAACA
RNAcentral lists this ribosomal RNA (427 nucleotides) under uncultured bacterium. Its description in RNAcentral is "partial 16S ribosomal RNA". It matches the Rfam family "Bacterial small subunit ribosomal RNA", at positions 355 to 774 of the family's 1533-position model. The record is from RNAcentral.